Molecule: long non-coding RNA, 774 nt
Organism: Pygoscelis adeliae (Adelie penguin)
Lineage: Eukaryota; Metazoa; Chordata; Aves; Sphenisciformes; Spheniscidae
Exons: 4
Source: RefSeq, a predicted model, not a curated record
AGGCUGCCCUGCCUCUGCAUUUAUCACAAAAGCUGUAUAGACUCAUGGUUUGAAGUGAACAGAUCUUGCCCGGAGCAUCCUUCUGAUUGACCCGCCGGGCAUGCUUGCUGACUUCUCUCUAAGGGCACCUUGCUAUACCUGCUGUACCUCCUCUCCCCGCCCCCCCUGCCCCGCCUGGAGUUUUGGGCUGACUUUAAAUUCCUUGAGAAGACAAAAAUAAAACCCAGAAACUUGAAUCCACUUGGGACAACGGCGAAUUUUUUUAUUUUAUGUUAUUAUUUUUAUUUGUUUUGUUGUUUUUUGGGUUUUUUUGGGUUUUUUAAUUUAAAAGAUUUAAAAAAAAAAAAAACAUCCAGGAGAAGACAGUGUGAGAAAAGCGGAGCGACCCGCUCUCCCCUCCACAGCCGCUGGUCACCAGGAGAGCUCUGCCCGCCAGGGAGGCCCCGGGGACGCCCUUGGCCGAAACCCUGCCAUGAUGUUUGGCUUUUCUCCCCAAAACGAAGGGGAAAGCUGCCGGGGGACGGCCGGCCAAACGGAGCACGCGGCAUUUCUCACCGGCAACCCCCCCACCUCCCACCCGGACUUGCCCAGGGGCUCUGCUCGGUUUUUUUGCACUGACUAAAUGGGAAUUUUCUCCCUCUCUCCCGUCUCCCUUUUGGAGAUCUCCACCCCGACCCCGGCAGCGUGAGACGGGGACUCUGCCCCACGCCGGGAGCGGGGCCACUGCUCCCCCCUGCCGAGCUGCAGGGGUCCGUCUUUCAAGUGUUUACAACG